GCCCUCAACGAUCCAGUACACUUUUUAUCAGCCAUCUAUCUGAGAGCCGGGCCCAUUCAUCAUCCGAGGCAGUCUCCCUGAAAACAAGACCCAUUCAGAUUUUGUACAAAUUAUCAUAUUUAUCAUCGUCUCCAACUCCGGAGUAACAUCUCGGCCAAGUGUCUGCCGCCUCUGUCUCCGGGGAGCCGCGCCGAGCGCCUUUGCCCACCCGCGACUCCCCGCCCGCCGCCUCCUCCCGCGCCCUCCUGGACUUCCAGCGACCCCACCGUGCAGCCCCAGCCCCGGGACAGCUUCUGCCCCGGAUGAGGAGUUUCCCGCAACCAGCGGGGUCCCAGCUCGGUCCACCUCCUCCUGGAAGCGCGCUGCUCGCUGUGCACGGCCCCAGGAUCAGGGAGGCUUCCCCAGGGAUGGAACUCGGGUCCUUGUGCUUUCGAGGCAGGCGGUGGAACUACUGAGCUAAAUCCCCGGCCCUACAUUAUCUUUAAAAUAUACAGAUGUGAAAAGAUCUCCAAAGUAAAUUAAAUGAAAAAAAGCAC
Long non-coding RNA from Heterocephalus glaber (naked mole-rat), 536 nucleotides. Lineage: Eukaryota; Metazoa; Chordata; Mammalia; Rodentia; Bathyergidae. The record is from Ensembl.